CUUGGUCAAUUUAGAGGAAGUAAAAGUCGUAACAAGGUCUCCGUUGGUGAACCAGCGGAGGGAUCAUUACCGAGUUUACAACUCCCAAACCCCCUGCGAACCGUACCAUUGAACGUUGCCUCGGCGGGACCGCCCCGGCGCCCAUCGCGGCCCGGACCCAGGCGCCCGCCGGAGGGCCCCAAGACUCCAACUGUCAGCGGCAUCUCGGCGUACAAGCAAAACAAAUGAAUCAAAACUUUCAACAACGGAUCUCUUGGUUCUGGCAUCGAUGAAGAACGCAGCGAAAUGCGAUAAGUAAUGUGAAUUGCAGAAUUCAGUGAAUCAUCGAAUCUUUGAACGCACAUUGCGCCCGCCAGCACUCUGGCGGGCAUGCCUGUCCGAGCGUCAUUUCAACCCUCGAGCACCGCUCGGCGUUGGGGGAGCGGCCCGCGCGCCGCCCCCCGAAAUGCAGUGGCGACCUCGCCGCGUCCACCCCUGCGCAGUAGCUCUCCCGAGAACCUCGCAUCGGCGGCGCGGCGGCGGUCACGCCGUGAAACGACCCCCCUUUCAAGAGUUGACCUCGGAUCAGGUAGGGAUACCCGCUGAACUUAAGCAUAUCAAUAAGCGGAG
Molecule: ribosomal RNA, 609 nt
Filed under: Hirsutella satumaensis
Lineage: Eukaryota; Fungi; Ascomycota; Sordariomycetes; Hypocreales; Ophiocordycipitaceae
Description: eukaryotic LSU rRNA
Rfam family: 5.8S ribosomal RNA (bases 234-387)
Source: RNAcentral